RNAcentral lists this ribosomal RNA (410 nucleotides) under Mandarina sp. B AD-2007. RNAcentral's name for it is "partial 16S ribosomal RNA". Lineage: Eukaryota; Metazoa; Mollusca; Gastropoda; Stylommatophora; Camaenidae. The record is from RNAcentral.
AGCUUUGAGCUAAAUAUAUUAUAAUAUUAGUUAUUUAAAAAAGGUGUCGUAUAACCUUAUUAAAAAUUAUAUUUAGGGGUGAUAGGCUUUUCAAAAACUAAGAUAUCUUGAAUCUAAUUAAAAGUAUGUAGUACAAUUAACACGACUAUUAAGUGAUUAGGCUUUAUAGGACUAUUAAACUAUAAGAUAUUUUAUUUAUUAAAAUUUAAUAACUAAGUAUAUAUAUAAAUUAACAUUCAUAUAUUAUAUUUUAUAAAAGAAUAAUUAGAUAGAUUUAAGUUUAUAAAAAUUGUAAUAAUGUUAAUAUUAGUAUAUAAUUUAUAUUUAUAUGAUGAACUCGGCAUAAAUGCUUCUCAACUGUUUAUCAAAAACAUAACUAUGUGAAUAUAUACAUAGCGGUUUCUGCUCAA